AGAUGUGCAACUCUGAUUGAUUCCAGGUAACAGCUCAGCUUUUUCUCCUUACCAAGUGCAUCAAGUUUGGACUUGUUGAACAGAGUCGUGAAGAUCGGGACAUCACUGCACUGAAUAAAUGAUUAAGAGAUUUCAAAUAGGACUCCACAGUCAUUGACUGCAUCAAUCAAACUGCAGGAAAGUUGGAGAACCAGAAAAGAUUUGAAGAAUCCUCAGAAAUAUUGUUUGGAAAAUUACUUAUUUGAUGUGUUUUACACUGGGCAGUCUCAUGCUUUACUUUUACUCACUCUGUGCUGUUUUAUGUGACAUGUCUGAGCUUGUGUGGUGUUUUCAGUUCCCAAUAAACCCUGGAUUAAAUGGGUGGAGAAAAAAUUAAGAAAAGCCAAGGACCUUUUGAAGCCACACAGCACGAGUUAAGACAAGAACACAUAGAGAAAGUCUGGGGUGUGGAGACAAGAUUCUUUAUUCUCUGACAAAUUUCAACAAACUAGUUUGAGAGAGAGGAGAUGAAGAGAGCAGCAUAUUAAGACAGUGGAGAAGAGGUGAAGGUAGAAAGUGUGUGUGAGCUGAUGUGGAUGUGAAUUAAGCAUCAUGGAUCAGUGUG
Long non-coding RNA from Oreochromis aureus, 604 nucleotides. RefSeq lists it as uncharacterized. The transcript has 4 exons. The record is from RefSeq and is a predicted model, not a curated record. Lineage: Eukaryota; Metazoa; Chordata; Actinopteri; Cichliformes; Cichlidae.